RNAcentral lists this ribosomal RNA (759 nucleotides) under Meloidogyne incognita (southern root-knot nematode). Its description in RNAcentral is "partial large subunit ribosomal RNA". The record is from RNAcentral. Lineage: Eukaryota; Metazoa; Nematoda; Chromadorea; Rhabditida; Meloidogynidae.
ACAAGUACCGUGAGGGAAAGUUGCAAAGCACUUUGAAGAGAGAGUUAAAGAGGACGUGAAACCGGUAAGGUGGAAACGGAUAGAGUCGGCGUAUCAUUCAAGUAUUCAGUUACAUUAUUUUUAUGUUGUGACCUCUGAGCUCCAGAUUGGGACAGAGGGAAUCAGCAUAAUUUUUUGUGGUGCAUUUACUUGAUUGGUGCUUGGGGAUGUUUGAGGCAGAUUUGUUUCCGUCGUUUUGAGGCCAGCUUGCUGGUACCCAAACGGUGUUAGCAUUUUUUGUCUUGGRCAUUUGAGUAUGGCUCACGUGUAUUUAUUGGACAGAUCUGAGUGUAAGUUACGGUCGCAUGCGACACGUGCUUUUCAAUUAGUUCGGUCCAGUUAAUGCUCUCGUACUCGUUCCCCAUGUAAAAGCCGGUCAUCUAUCCGACCCGUCUUGAAACACGGACCAAGGAGUUUAUCGUGUGCGCAAGUUUUUGGGUGUUAAAAACUUAAAAGCGAAAUGAAAGUAAAUGACUCUUUAGAGUCUGAUGUGCGAUCUUGUAAAAAAGUGUAGCAUGGCCCCAUUCUAACUGUUUACAGUAGGGUGGCGGAAGAGCGUACGCGGUGAGACCCGAAAGAUGGUGAACUAUUCCUGAGCAGGACGAAGCCAGAGGAAACUCUGGUGGAAGUCCGAAGCGGUUCUGACGUGCAAAUCGAUCGUCUGACUUGGGUAUAGGGGCGAAAGACUAAUCGAACCAUCUAGUAGCUGGUUCCUUCCGA